UCCGGCUUAACGCCGGCAGUCCCGUUAGAGUGCCCAACUGAAUGCUGGCAACUAACAGCGAGGGUUGCGCUCGUUGCGGGACUUAACCCAACAUUUCACAACACGAGCUGACGACAGCCAUGCAGCACCUGUCACUGAGUUCCCCGAAGGGCACUCCUCUAUCUCUAGAGGAUUCUCAGGAUGUCAAACCUGGGUGAGGUUCUGCGCGUUGCUUCGAAUUAAACCACAUGAUCCACCGCUUGUGCGGGCCCCCGUCAAUUCCUUUGAGUUUUAGCCUUGCGGCCGUAAUCCCCAGGCGGAGCACUUAACGCGUUAGCUACGAUACUGCGAGGGUCAAAACCCGCAACAUCUAGUGCUCAUCGUUUACAGCGUGGACUAC
RNAcentral lists this unclassified non-coding RNA (379 nucleotides) under uncultured Pseudomonadota bacterium. RNAcentral describes it as "uncultured proteobacterium contains 16S-23S intergenic spacer region". Lineage: Bacteria; Pseudomonadati; Pseudomonadota. The record is from RNAcentral.